RNAcentral lists this long non-coding RNA (365 nucleotides) under Androctonus crassicauda. Lineage: Eukaryota; Metazoa; Arthropoda; Arachnida; Scorpiones; Buthidae. The record is from RNAcentral.
UGAUUGUCGAAUUUUUGUGUUGCAUCAUAUCAGGCAGUGCAGCAUUGCCUAUCUGAUUAUGGUAUAUAGAUACAGAUUGGAGUCAGUGGUGCAACAUGCUCAAUUGCUUCAGGGUAAAAUAAAAUUUUAUGUGGUAUUGUAUUAAAUGAAUUAUUGCAAAAUUUCCUUCCUGAUCUUCAGGAGACAUUCAGUAAGUUAUGGUUUUGCUUAUUAUUUGAAUUUCUCCAGUCAAAAAAAAAAGUUGAUUUUUUUUGACCCAUGUAUAAGCCAACCCCCCACUUCAGAAACUUUUUUCGGGAAAAAACCUCGGCUUAUACACGAGUAUAUACGGUAUGCUGAAAAUAUUAAUUAUUUUAUAAUAAAUG